UAUUCCUACGGGAGGCAGCAGUGAGGAAUAUUGGUCAAUGGGCGCGAGCCUGAACCAGCCAAGUCGCGUGAGGGAAGACGGUCCUAUGGAUUGUAAACCUCUUUUGUCGGGGAGCAAGGCCCGCCACGUGUGGCGGGAAGGAGAGUACCCGAAGAAAAGGCAUCGGCUAACUCCGUGCCAGCAGCCGCGGUAAUACGGAGGAUGCGAGCGUUAUCCGGAUUUUUUGGGUUUAAAGGGUGCGUAGGCGGAAGGUUAAGUCAGCGGUCAAAUGUCGGUGCUCAACACCGG
Molecule: ribosomal RNA, 288 nt
Filed under: uncultured bacterium
Lineage: Bacteria
Description: partial 16S ribosomal RNA
Rfam family: Bacterial small subunit ribosomal RNA
Source: RNAcentral